RNAcentral lists this long non-coding RNA (4368 nucleotides) under Arachis ipaensis. RNAcentral describes it as "long non-coding RNA (AIPA_LNC001087)". The record is from RNAcentral. Lineage: Eukaryota; Viridiplantae; Streptophyta; Magnoliopsida; Fabales; Fabaceae.
GAAAAUUUAGACAAUUACUUUUAUAUAAAAUUGAUAAGUAAAAGUUUUUAAAUAGUUUAAUAAUUUUGACUAAAUUAUUAUUUAACGGCUCUUAGUUAUGAACUUCAUAUAAAAUUAACUAUAUAUACUUAAAUUUCCACCACAUAUAAAUUAACUGAAAAAAAAAAAAAAACCAGAAGAACAGGAAAAGAAAAGAAAGAAGAGAAUCACAAAAUUGACAAUUAUUAUUACAUGGGAUUUAAUUCAUGAGAAGCAACCAGGGUCUUGGAAAUUUCAUAUAUAAGCCUUGCCUCAAAAGCAUCACCAGAAAAACGCAUAGAAAAUUGACGAGGCUUUGGGAUCCUUUUCCCACCAAACACAACAAUAUUAUUGUGAGUGUUCAAUGAUCCUAUGUUGCCGGCUAACCUUAACAUGAAGUUCAUAUAAGCAUUCUUAAGCUUAAUCAACAUCUUCAAAGGUGAUCUAAUUACCCAUCUAACCUUCGGAAGUCUUCUUAUCCUCCAAUACUUUCUAGGCCUUCUUUUCAACCACCUUAUGACCUUUGUUUUCCUUCCCCCGCUGCCAGCGCUGCCGCGUUGGUAGCGGCGCCUCCUCAAGUAGCUCUUGAUGCCGCAGUAAUAAGUUGGGUUAGAUGGCAAUAGUGACUCAGUUUCCAUGUGUGUUUGUGAAGUGAAUAAGGGAAAGAAGUGAAGUGAAGUGAAGUGAAUAUAUAUAGACUAGUUAGCUAUGAUUCACUGACACGGGACACGACACGAUACGGGACAUGCCGACACGCGAAUUUUAAAAUCUUAUAUGAUACGGGGACACGCAUACAUAUAAAAUAUAAAGUAGUUUUUAAAAAAACCGUAAACGGGGACAUGCAUACAUAUAAAAUAUAAAGUAUUUUUUAGAUAAACCGUAAUAAUAUUUUAAUAUUUUAUUGAUAUUAAAAUAUAAAUUAAUUUUUUAAAUUAUUUUUAAUGUCUUAUUUUAAUUAUAUCAAGUAUUUAAAAUAUUUUUUGUUUUAAUAAAUAAUAAUAUAUAUUAUAUCUAAAUUUAUUUUAAGAAUAUAUAUUAAUAAUAAAACAUGACACGCUGACACGUGAUGGUUUUUAGGUGUUUUCAAGUGUGUUUAGAGAAAAAUUUUUUAUUUUUAUUGAGACACGGUUUUAAUAUAGCAAACACGCGUGUCGGACGAGUGUCAGUGAGUAUCGUGUCCGAAAUGUGUCUGACACGCAGACAUGACAACUCAGCAAAGUGUCCGUUCUUCGUAGCUAGUUAGUGUUUAGAUAUUAGGCAUCGUUGUAUAAAUAAUAAUAGAGAAUUUAAUUUAAGAGAUUAAUUUUAUAAAGUAGUUAAUUAUGUGUAUGUGUGAAUAAACAUUACCAACAUUAUGUUGUCCAUAUAUGUAUUUCUGAAAUAUUCUCUCCCUUUGUCUACCAAUAAUAUUGUGAUGAGUGUAUUAUUUGAUCUUGACCAAAUUGUUAACCUCUUCUAAAUUUUAUUAUUUGAAAAUCGGUUUAUCUAAUAUAAUUUUAGUUUUCCACUAAAGAUAUAUGAAUGAUUAUACAUCUCAUAAAAUUUAUAAAGAUUAAGUUUGGGUUGAAAGACAAUUUUUUUUAUUCCAAUCAAAUAAUAGAAAAUGAAUUUUUUUGGUCGAAAAAUAAAGAAAAUAAAAGAAUUUUAUUUUAUUUUAAUUUUCGGUGAAGAACUAAUUAACAUGGAUGGGUAAAGAUGAACCGGACAACGAAUCGUCCUUGGCAUAUCUCCUACUUUAGAGUUUAGACAACCUAUUAUACAUUAAUUUAAUUUUUUGUGUCCGUAAGCUAAGCACGAAUGAAGAUUUUUUUUUUUUGAUUUACAUGUAAUUUAAAUAAUUAGCUUUUAAAAAGUUUAAGGCUUGAAAAUGUUGUUAUGGGGUCCUCAGCCACAAUAUAGAGAUUUUGUUGUCUAGACACAGACCCUGUUCCUCGUAUUUGGGCACAUUAAAAGACCAACACAGUAGAAAGGACCAUAAUACAAAAUCAUAACAUCCUUAAUUAUUGUAAUGGUUUAGUUUGUUAUAAGGUUUAUAGUUUUUGAUAUACUUUAUACAAAAUAUUAGGAUAAAAACUUACGUACAGUUAUUUUCAUAUGAAAUUUUUAGUCGAAAACCGUUAAAUAAUAGUUUAGUCAAAGAUAUCAAAUUAUCUUACAAUUUUAUAUAAAAAUAACUUCAGGUAAAUUUUCUCCAAAUAUUAUAUACUUUCAUGUAAAGUUUCCUGCACUUCCAUGGCGGCCACCGUGAUCGACAUAACAUGGUGGCGCAAAGGAUUGGAGGAGUAAUUAAGGAAAGAAGAUCGAUGUGUUGUGUUGGCCAAAUUUUGCUGCAAAAAAAUUGUAGAUAAAAGAAGAUUGCAUGAGGAAAUAAUGUAUUAUCGCGUCUAAAAUCAUACCAAAUCUUAAUAAGAUAUAUUUUGAAUCAUACUAAAUCUCAAUCAAAUAAUUCUAUAUGUAGUUUCCUAUAAUAUAUUGUGGAUAUAAUGUUUUAUCCAUUAUUCCUCAAAUAAUAUUUGUUACUUGUUGUCUAAGUUAUUAAGAUAAAAUACAUACAUAUUCUCUAUACUACUAAUAAUAUGUCAAGAAGAUUAGUUUUAAUCUACUGUAAAAUACGUGAAUUAAGGAAUAACUUGAAUUUAACUUCCUAGAAUUUAAUUAAGAUAAUUUCGAUUAUUAUCUCAUUUUUGAUGAGUUGUGAUCUCUAUACAUACAUAUCCAUAACAAAAAAAAAAGAAUGUAUCUCAAAUUAAUAAUAAGAUUUUGGUAUACGAUUUAUACACAUCAAUAUUUUCAUUAUAAAUAGCAGUAUUAGGCGUGGUAAUUUUGUCACACUUGGUCAACAAUAUUCUUAAUCUUUAUUUCUACUAAUAAUAAGUCAAUAAUAAUACAAUGGCCAACAAAAACUGCUCACUUCACUUAGCUCUUAUCGUGGCUUGCAUGGUCACCAUGACAGCGACGGUAGCCGAAAUGCGCAUGAUGACGAAGACUAUACCUUGGUCAUCAUGCAAUGGGACGAUAGGGGAGUGCAUAGAAGCAAAGAAGAAAUUUGAGAUGGAUUCAGAGAGCAACAUGAAGAUAUUUGAAUCAAAGAACAAGGUGAUAGGAAACGGUGCAAUAGGGAGGAAUGGAAUUCCAUGCUCGAAGAAAGAUAAUACCACCAAGAAUUGUAGACCGGGUACUCCUGCCAACCGAUACAACCGUGGCUGCAGUCCCAUUACUCGAUGCAGGGGUGGUGGUGGUGGCGGCGGCGGUAGCCCCCCUCAUGGUUAAAUUAUUCAUCAUUAUCUUCUUCUUCUUAAUUAUUUGUUUAGCUAUCUAGUUAGGUUUAUGGUUGUUCUUUGUAUAUUCACUUUGAUUAUUAUAGGACCCAUUAUUAACGGCUAUUAGUAGUAGUUUAUUUCAUAUAAUAGUAGUGUUAUGAUUUGGCUUGUUUCGAUUUAGUUUAAUAUUCUAUGUAAAUAUAAAAAUUUUAAUAAAAUAAAAGAAGAAGAAGAGCAUCUUAAUUUAGCUUGUUUUCUAUGUUACCAUUUAGUCUCUCUUACCUUACUGUUAUUGUUAUUUUUUUUAGCUUUUGUCUUCGAUUACUUAUCCAUAGAAAAAUUUCUAUUAAUAAAAAUUAGUAUAUUAUUGUUUUCGUUAAUUUGUUUCAGUCAAUAUGUAUUAUGUAGUUUUUGUUUAAACGCUUGGACGUUAGGUUACUAUUGUUAAAUAUUUAUCUUUCUCAGCCUCCUUUUUAUUUUCUCUAUAUAAAAAAAUUAGUGAUACUCCAAUAAAGAUUUUACAAUUAUUCUAGUGAUAUAAUAAAAAAUUAGUUAGUAUUAGUUUAAAUAUUAAUCAAAUAUAAGAAAAAAACAUGUAAAUAUGUAAUAUGUAUUCUAAAAAUUUAAAUAAAUUAUAAUAGAAUUAAUAACCACAACAAAUAUAAAAUAAAAAAAUAAAAAGAACUCUCCCAUAUUAGGCCCAAAUUAUAGCCCAUGGAUACAAUAGCUAAUUAUAGCCCAUGGCUUCAUAUUGUAAAACAAAACAUAGAAAAAAAACUUAGAAAUUGAAAAACAUAGGAAGUAAUUAAAACUUGGAAUCAAGUGUUAUUCAUUUUACGUGAACUUAAUUUUAUGUUAAAUUGAUAGUUAAAAUUUUUUAAAUAAUUUAAUAUAUUUGAUUUAAUUAUUAUUUAAUAAUUUUUAAUUAUUAAUUUUAUGUAAAAAUUUUUAUACUUAAAUUUCUUUUGUAUAUAAAUUAAACUGAAAAAAAAAAGGAAAGGAAAGAAGAGAAUCACAAAAUUAACCAUUAUUAUAUGGGAUUUAAUUCAUGAGAAGCAACCAAGGUCUUGGAAAUUUCAUAUAUAAGCCU